RNAcentral lists this ribosomal RNA (480 nucleotides) under uncultured bacterium. RNAcentral describes it as "bacterial SSU rRNA". It matches the Rfam family "Bacterial small subunit ribosomal RNA", at positions 9 to 484 of the family's 1533-position model. The record is from RNAcentral.
GAGUUUGAUCAUGGCUCAGAUUGAACGCUGGCGGCAUGCCUUACACAUGCAAGUCGAACGGCAGCACGGGGGCAACCCUGGUGGCGAGUGGCGAACGGGUGAGUAAUGCAUCGGAACGUGCCCUGAAGUGGGGGAUAACGUAGCGAAAGUUACGCUAAUACCGCAUAUUCUGUGAGCAGAAAAGCAGGGGAUCUUAGGACCUUGUGCUUUGGGAGCGGCCGAUGUCGGAUUAGCUAGUUGGUGAGGUAAAGGCUCACCAAGGCGACGAUCCGUAGCGGGUCUGAGAGGAUGAUCCGCCACACUGGAACUGAGACACGGUCCAGACUCCUACGGGAGGCAGCAGUGGGGAAUUUUGGACAAUGGGCGCAAGCCUGAUCCAGCCAUGCCGCGUGAGUGAAGAAGGCCUACGGGUUGUAAAGCUCUUUCGGCGGGGAAGAAAUAGCGUGGGUUAAUACCCUGCGUUGAUGACGGUACCCGCAU